AAAAUAGAGAGAAUAGGUUUUAUUUUUGAUGGAUCGUGAAAACAAGAGGAAGAGGCAAGAGAAGAAGGAAAACCUAAGGGAAGAGAGUGCAAGAAGCCAUGACAAGAGCUUGAGGAAUCCGAAAACAUAAGAUUGAAGUAGCGGCUUAAGCGAUCGGUGAGGAUGGCUUGUAAAGUCAUGUCUUUAGUUUUAAUAAAUAGGUGUCGGUGUCAUGCUCUGAGACUUGUAACACUGGGGAACGCUUGAUUGAGAGUCGUUUAUGCUCUAUUAUUUCAGUUUGAUUGUUUGGAUAAUUAUUUCUUUUGAAACUAAGGCAUGUGACCUUAUGAAUA
Molecule: long non-coding RNA, 332 nt
Organism: Vicia villosa (hairy vetch)
Lineage: Eukaryota; Viridiplantae; Streptophyta; Magnoliopsida; Fabales; Fabaceae
Exons: 2
Source: RefSeq, a predicted model, not a curated record